AGCGAACGCUGGCGGCAGGCCUAACACAUGCAAGUCGAACGAACCUUUCGGGGUUAGUGGCGGACGGGUGAGUAACACGUGGGAACGUGCCUUUAGGUUCGGAAUAACUCAGGGAAACUUGUGCUAAUACCGAAUGUGCCCUUCGGGGGAAAGAUUAAUCGCCUUUAGAGCGGCCCGCGUCUGAUUAGCUAGUUGGUUGAGGUAAUGGCUCACCAAGGCGACGAUCAGUAGCUGGUCUGAGAGGAUGAUCAGCCACAUCGGGACUGAGACACGGCACAAACUCCUACGGGAGGCAGCAGUGGGGAAUCUUGCGCAAUGGGCGAAAGCCUGACGCAGCCAUGCCGCGUGAAUGAUGAAGGUCUGAGGAUUGUAAAAUUCUUUCACCGGGGACGAUAAUGACGGUACCCGGAGAAGAAGCCCCGGCUAACUUCGUG
RNAcentral lists this ribosomal RNA (434 nucleotides) under uncultured bacterium. RNAcentral's name for it is "partial 16S ribosomal RNA". It matches the Rfam family "Bacterial small subunit ribosomal RNA", at positions 29 to 507 of the family's 1533-position model. The record is from RNAcentral.